Thalassophryne amazonica is the source of this 121-nucleotide long non-coding RNA. RefSeq lists it as uncharacterized. Lineage: Eukaryota; Metazoa; Chordata; Actinopteri; Batrachoidiformes; Batrachoididae. The record is from RefSeq and is a predicted model, not a curated record. The transcript is spliced from 3 exons.
UUCACAGCAGUUCACUUGUUGAAGAGGAUGUGCAGCCCUCAGCUGGAAACUUUUUUCAUAAACUGUCCUCCGUUCUAUUCACUGCGGGAGUUGUCCUCAUUUGUGCUGGUCGGUGUAUAUA